Molecule: long non-coding RNA, 1096 nt
Filed under: Struthio camelus australis
Lineage: Eukaryota; Metazoa; Chordata; Aves; Struthioniformes; Struthionidae
Description: lncRNA (ENSSCUG00000005536.1)
Source: RNAcentral
UAUAUUUGCAAAUGAAAAACUGAACUAUAGUCUGAUUCAGUGUCUCAGGCAUACAGGCUUGUUUUUGGGUGUCUGUUUACCAGGCUACGGAAUUCUAUUAUGAGAGAAUCUAUGAGAGAAUCGAUGCUAUUUUUAGAAGACGACAGCAACGUUGGCAAAAGAUAUGUGUAGUAGUCUUUUUUUGUUUACUUUUAGUAAAAGUUUGGUAUUGAGCCUAGGAUGACAAUAUCUCAGCUUGCAAUCUAAUUUACUCAGAUAUGUAUUUUGGCAUGCUGUAUUGUCGUAUGCAAAACAACAGUAGUCUAAGUUAGAAUAAUGGGAGCAAAGGGUGAUAUUUAAAGAGGCUGUGGCCACACAAGGCUCACCAUUUCAAAGGCCAAGGCUUAGCCACAGAUAGUGUUCUUGGGGUGAUGCACUCCCAUGACUAAGGUCUGCAGAAGGGACAGGGUUUGAUUUUGUCUUCUUUUGUUUUGAAAUCUGUUGUACACAAUAUUUCAAAGAACUCUGCUGAGUAUGUUCCACUUCAGAAGUGCAUACGCCUAAAGCCCCAGGCAUGGACUUAAGAGUCUGGGGAAAUACUGAAGUCUGCUCUAACCAGAACAGAAGAGCGCUGAGGAGACAUGAGGUGUUUUAAUUAAGACUCUGAAGAAGAAAGAAAGCAUUUGGGUAUGAGCCAGGGUACCUUACGUAAGGAGAAAGAAGCUGAUUGACAUCUAGAUGUUUCAAACUGAUCUGCUGCUCUUAAUGGAGUCAGGACGUCUUGUUGCUCACAUGGAGACUUUGAAGACGACCAUUUACGUAGCUUGCUCCAUGGGAACGCUGACAGCCACUGUUACUUUCCCGUACAAAGGAGAAAAGGUCCUCUCUGGAGCAUGCUUGAAGAGGACACUUGACUCUGGAACUUGCUAUAUGUGGUCCCAAUUGUUUCCUGUUUCACGGCCAUUUUCAGCUGACCAAACAUAACUGAGGGUUAUUGUGACCAGCAGCAGUGUGACAAGGAGAAAUUUCAAAAAGAAAAUGAGACAUUUUUGAGAAGAAAAUGUGAGCUGAUGGAAACCUGAAUAAAAGGCAACCAUAAGUUUUUCCCCGGAAGAAA